GGGGCAGAAAAUAGCACACUUUUACUCUACGCAACUGUUGCUUUUUCAUGGACAGUACUACAGAAGGACUAAGUAUAUAGGAAACUUGACUUAUUUAAAUAAGGCAGUGAAAAAAAUAGAAUAUGGGGAGUAAAACAACCUCUGAAGCUAAGUCUGCAUAUAUAAUAACUGGAUCUUCAGGAAUUUUACUGGGAUAAUUAUCCAAAUAAAUUGCAAGCAUUCUAUCCAAAUGGUGAUCUUCUGAGAUAUUUUGAGGGAAAGAGGUAGUAUACCAAAAUGGAAAUACUACGCAAGGAGCUCUUUCUGAGAUGAAGAGAAUUCUCAAUGUCAAGAUUUGAACAAGAAGAGAAUGGAAUACACAAUAUGGACAUCCAUAAAAAUUCAUCAGAGAGCAUUUUACUACUGAGCUGCAAAGAUGACAAGAGCACCUCAAAGGCAGCAGCCUCAAGGAGCAGCCAUGGCCCCAGACUUGUCGCACGGAUGCAGAAAACUUAAUGGAGGAGGCUGAGGUCAGAAUGGGAAGAGUUUUUAAAAAAUAAAAAGGGGAGCUAAUAUGUGAGGAACUGAUUGCUGUGCAUUAUUUUCCACUGAACAGACCUUCUUUUAACUUCUAAUCUCAAGCACAUAGCAGCUGUUGUUUUCAUAUUAAAGAUCAGUAAGUGUUUGUUGAAUGAAUGUAUAAAUUCUUCCCCAAUCUCUGUUCCAUGUAAUAAGAACUAAGUUAGCAUUCAAUUAUAAAGAGGACUUAGAAAGUCUGCAGACAUUUUUGAUCAAAAAUCCUUUUAACUGUCUUCUUAUGGUUCCCGGUAACACCUAAGCCCAAAAAACUCAGGUCAUUUCUUGCCUGUACUGUUGCAAUAGCCUCAUAAUAACUAGUCUUCUCCUUUAUCAACCACAGUCGUCUCCGCUACACAAAGAAGAGAGGGUGCUAAUCUAAAGUGUAAAUUAUUUUAAAUCAGCACCCUUCUUGUAAUUUCCCAGUGGUUUUUCCUGUCAUAAGAAUAACAUGCAAAAUUCCUUGCUUGCAAAGCCAGGUAUGACCUUGCCCCGUCUACCUUACUGGCAUCGUCUCUCAUGACUCUUCCCCUUUUUCACUCUCCAUCUUGCCUUUUCCCAACCAUGCCUGCUAGUGAGCCUUAGCCCUUGUGUUUUCUCUGCCAGGGAUGCAUGACUGGCUUCUUUACUUUAUUCUGAUCUCUCUGCUCAAAUGUCAUCUUUUUAGAGAUAGCUUUCCUAAACAUCUUUAAAAGUACCCCAUGAACUGUG
This 1266-nucleotide long non-coding RNA is filed under the name Homo sapiens (human). RNAcentral describes it as "mir-99a-let-7c cluster host gene". Lineage: Eukaryota; Metazoa; Chordata; Mammalia; Primates; Hominidae. The record is from RNAcentral.